Molecule: unclassified non-coding RNA, 592 nt
Filed under: Hevea brasiliensis (rubber tree)
Lineage: Eukaryota; Viridiplantae; Streptophyta; Magnoliopsida; Malpighiales; Euphorbiaceae
Source: RNAcentral
ACUAUUUAUACAGAGAAUUGGGUAAAUUCACCAGGCCAACUGGAAGAUAAUUCAUGGCAAUCUUUUGUUUUUGUACCCGAAGACAACUGGUAUAUUGCAAAGAUUCCUCUUUCUCGAUAUUUGCCAACAUGGAGAGGAAAUGUGAUAGAUGCAAAGCUGGAAAUGAAUCAAUCUCGCAUUCUCGGCAUGUCCCUAUCUGUUAAUGCAGAAGGUGGCAUCCCAGGUACCAGGUCAGGAGCAGGUGAUUUCAAAGUUGAAAUUGAUUGGAUCAAAGCCUUGAGAACCCAGUGAGUCACCGUAAAACUUUAUCUUUGGACUACCUCCCCAAAUUUUCUAACUGUGUUGGAGCUCCAGAGGCAUUAACAAGCAGCCCCUGCAUUCUUUGUGAAUUUGUGUUCUUGAAAAUCCCUCCAACAACAAAGACUAGACUACUCUAGUUAAAUCAAGUCCUUGUACUUACAUCUGGAAAUUUUGAUGUGUUAGUAGAAUAUCCUGGAGCUAACAAAUAAUUUUCUAUACUAAUAUAUCGUUCAUGAACUCUCAUCUUUCAGAUUUGUCUAUUAUUUGUUGUUGGAGGGAUUUUCAAGAACAC